Molecule: ribosomal RNA, 1284 nt
Filed under: Pseudothericles compressifrons
Lineage: Eukaryota; Metazoa; Arthropoda; Insecta; Orthoptera; Thericleidae
Description: 16S ribosomal RNA
Rfam family: Archaeal large subunit ribosomal RNA (bases 588-1284)
Source: RNAcentral
UAAACUUGUAUUAUUAGUAUUUAUUGAUAUUUAUGUUUAUAAUAAAAGUAAUUUUUAUAUAAUUUGUUUAAGUAUAUUUUGUUGAAAUGAUUAUUUUGAUUAUAGUAAAUUAGUAAUGUAAAUGGGUUGCUUACUUAUUGAAUAAGUCUAUUUAGUUUAUAGUACCUUUUGUAUCAGGGUUGAUCUAAAUAAUUUUAUUGAUUUAAUUUUCUCGAAUUUAAAUUGAUUUAUUUACAAAUUAUAGUUAAUGUAAAAUAAUUAUUAAUAAUUUGUAAAUAGAAGUGAAAUGUUAACGGUUUUUAAGUUAUCUAGUUUCUUAAGAAUAAAUUUAAUUUGAUUUAUAUUUUUAAUUUAUUAUGUUGAUAAUAAUUUAUUAAUAUAAUUUUAGUGUUUAGGGGAUAAGCUCUAAUUAAAUUCUAUAAUUUGAAUAUAAAUAUAAUAAUAGUAGGCUUUAAAUCAGCCAUUUUUAGAAUACGUUUUAGUUUAUUAUUUAAUAUAUGAUUUAUAUUUAUUUAGUUUAUUUAUUAAGAUAUAAUUAUUAACUUUUUUAAUUUAGUAAUAAUGAUUGAAUUAGUAUAUAUUUGUGUCUAUGAAAUUGAAUAAGUUAAUUUAGUUUAAGGAAUUAGGCAAUUUUAUUCCCGCCUGUUUAUCAAAAACAUGUCUUUUUGAUUAUAAUAUAAAGUCUGUCCUGCUCACUGAUGAAUUGAAUAGCCGCGGUAUUUUGACCGUGCAAAGGUAGCAUAAUCAUUAGUCUCUUAAUUAGGGGCUGGAAUGAAUGGUUUGACGAGGAAUAAACUGUCUUAAAUUGAUAUAUGGAAUUUAAUCUUUGAGUCAAAAAGCUCAAAUUUAAUUUGAGGACGAGAAGACCCUAUAGAGCUUUAUAUGAAUUUUUUAUAUAAUAUUAUGAUUAUUUAUUUAUAUAUUAUAGUUGAUAUUAUGUUGGGGUGACAAAGAGAAUAAUUAAACUCUCUUUUUUAAUAUCAUAAAUUUAUGUUUCAAUGAUCCGUAAAUUACGAUUAUAAGAUUAAGUUACCUUAGGGAUAACAGCGUAAUUACUAUAAAGAGUUCAUAUCGACAUAGUAGAUUGCGACCUCGAUGUUGGAUUAAGACAAAUAUACGGUGCAGAAGUCGUAUAAUUAGGUCUGUUCGACCUUUAAAUUCUUACAUGAUCUGAGUUCAGACCGGCGUGAGCCAGGUCGGUUUCUAUCCUAAAUUUAAUUAAUUAUAUUAGUACGAGAGGACCAUAUAGUUAGGAUAAUUCUUUUAUACAUGAUUAUUAUUAAU